RNAcentral lists this long non-coding RNA (618 nucleotides) under Medicago truncatula (barrel medic). Its description in RNAcentral is "long non-coding RNA (MTRU_LNC001275)". The record is from RNAcentral. Lineage: Eukaryota; Viridiplantae; Streptophyta; Magnoliopsida; Fabales; Fabaceae.
AAAAUAAUUGGAGCCUUUUCAAAAUCAUCAGAAGCCCCAAGAAAUAGUGAUAGUGAGUUCACUAGUAUAAUAUAUUUGAUCAAUCUUUCUAUUAUUUCAUGUUUAUUAGUAAAAAAAAAAAUUAAGAUAAUAAGCGUAACAGCAUGGUGGUUGCAUUAUAUAAUUGAAGUCCGCAGAAAGCUGCAGCUAAAUUCUUCAUCCCUCUUGAAUUCCCUCGACUCUCCUCUGAUUUCAGAUGACGGUAUGGGGAAUGUUGUAGUUAAGAAUUGCAUGGUAGUUAAUUUUUGAAUGAACAAUUUGAUGAUUGUUUUCAAAAUCGUAAAUUUUGCUCAAUCCAUCCAAAUCAAUGAUAGAAUCGAAAAACAUGCAAAAUCGUGGUAAGAUCGCAGCAAAAUCGCAUAAAAUUUUGAAAUCACUACAAAAUUGCAAGUUUGUACGAUUUUGAAGGAUUUUGAGCAUUUUUUGAUAAGGGUCAAGUUGUUUCCAUUUCGUUAUUCUUCGUCAAGCUCUUAUUUUGUAUAGUAGUGAUGAAUUUGGUGAUGAUGAUGAGGGAGGAAAUAAUGAGAUUGAUGAAAAUGAAGGUGUUGAUCUGAUUGGGGAUGAUCCGUAGAAUUGGUG